RNAcentral lists this long non-coding RNA (1204 nucleotides) under Phascolarctos cinereus (koala). RNAcentral describes it as "lncRNA (ENSPCIG00000037080.1)". The record is from RNAcentral. Lineage: Eukaryota; Metazoa; Chordata; Mammalia; Diprotodontia; Phascolarctidae.
CCUCCUCGCCGGGGCUCCCGCUGUGAUUGACACAGAAAGAGAGGAGGCGCCUGGUGCUAACAAAAGUCUGAGCCACUGGAGAGCAGCGUAGGGCCGCGGGUCUCCUCUCUGGGAACCAGCAACAAGUGGCUUGCAGCGGCACUUUCCCCUAGGAAGAAGUGGAUCGCGAGCUCUUGGACCCAAGCAGCCAGGCAGCUUCUCCUCUCUUCGCCCUCUGGAGCCCUAGGGCGCGGAUGGGGACCCGGAGGGGAUGCCCGUUCUUGCCUAGUCCUGGGAUGCUGGAAGCUGCAUCUACGGAUUGCCCUAGUACUGCUGCCUGACCCGGCGUGUGGAUUAUUAAGUGGAGCUGCGGCCCCUCGGGUUACCCUUCUUGCAAAAAAAAAAAAUUGAAAGACGGGGGUGGGGGGAGAGAAGCCCAUUUGGAGAACCAGGACGAGGGGAGCGCAUUGCGUUCCCGGAGAUGGUCCUUGUUUAGGGGUUCUGAAGUAUGUCAAAGUAAUCGUCCGGGAUAGGAGGAUUCACUUGCCCGCUUUCCUCAAACCCCGGUUGCCUAAGAGCCCCGUCUUGGCUUGUUAGACAUGGUGUGUAUGGGAAGAAGGAGAGUAUGAAGCCUGCAGGAUGGGAGCAAACAAUGGCAAACAGUACGGCAGUGAGGGCAAAGGCAGCUCAAGCAUCUCAUCCGACGUGAGUUCAAGUACAGAUCAUACGCCGACCAAAGCUCAAAAGAAUGCAGCUACCAGCGAAGGUAGGCAUCUGGUCUUCAUUAUCUUUGGCCCUCUUUUCACAGCAUUGGCUAAUUUUUGGAAAGAAGAUAAAAUGUGUGGGGUUUGGACCUGUUCUACUGAGUGGGAGCUCAUGCGAUUCUUUAAAAAGGAAAAAGCUAAAGUUCUUCCAAGUGCCUUUUUUUCUUUCUUUUUCUUUAUUUUUUGGAUUGCUGUUGCUGUGUGUAAAAGUUGAUUUGAUGGGAUUUAAAUCUCUCAUUUCCAAGGCUAAUGUCGGAGUUUCAUGAAAAUAUAAUGGGCUGGUUUAUAAGAUCACAUUGCAUUGUGUAUCACAUUUUUCUAGGAAGGAAACUAAAAUUGUGAAAUCCCCGGUUUGUGCUUGAUCCAUCAUGCCAGGAAUUGUGCACCUGGAUUGUGGACUUAUGACAGUAUGCCAAGGUCAGAGCUCUGCAGUGCACUUGAUCAAAGGUGGUAGAGAAGGA